AUUGAACGCUGGCGGCAGGCUUAACACAUGCAAGUCGAGCGAGCGGCGGACUGGUGAGCAAUGUCUGGGAAACUGCCUGAUGGAGGGGGAUAACUAUUGGAAACGGUAGCUAAUACCGCAUACCAUCAUAUGUGCCCAGAGGGGAUUAGCUAGGAGGUGGGGUAAUGGCUCACCUAGGCGACGAUCCCUAGCUGGUCUGAGAGGAUGCCCAGCCACACUGGGACUGAGACACGGUCCAGACUCCUACGGGAGGCAGCAGUGGGGAAUAUUGCGCAAUGGGCGCAAGCCUGAUGCAGCCAUGCCGCGUGUGUGAAGAAGGCCUUCGGGUUGUAAAGCACUGUCAGCGGGGAGGCGUUACUCACAGAAGAAGCACCGGCUAACUCCGUGCCAGCCGCCGCGGUAAUUC
Molecule: ribosomal RNA, 406 nt
Filed under: uncultured bacterium
Lineage: Bacteria
Description: partial 16S ribosomal RNA
Rfam family: Bacterial small subunit ribosomal RNA
Source: RNAcentral